AUGAACAGGGGGCACCAGGUAGAUUCGUGUUAUCAGCCGAGACCGACGAUUUCUUCUUGGAAGCAAUCUACCAGGAGCAGCUACGUACUACAUUGCAGGAAUCGGCCACGUACGUACGUGAUGCGGCACUACACGCGCCACGCCGGGGGAGGCAGGGGUUGCCGGCGGCGGGGCGGCGUCCUCUGCCGGGGCGCCGUCGGCCUGGCGGCCGGCUCCGUGGCGGGGGCGAACACCUCGUCCCAGAUCUCCGCGAAGGCCCGGAGGAUGGCGUCGUGGUGCCGCGGCGCGUUCAGCGCCAGGAAGCGCCGGAGCAGCUCGCGCAGCUCGUCCCCCGUCACGAUCCCGUUCUCCACGAUCAUGUUCACCAUCGACCGCCGGAAGUCGCCCAGCGGGUCCUCCGACUGCUUCACCACCGCCACGCUCCCGUCCAGCCUCCCGCUGCCGCCGCCGCCGCCGAAGCCGUUGCCGUUGCCGUUGCUGUCGCAGCUCAUCGCUUUCCGGUGCUUCGGCGCCGGCGGCGGUGUCGGCGAGCGCUUCUCGUCUUCUUUGCUCUUGGAUUUAUUAUUGUCCUCCUCGGCCUUGGCGCUCCGGACCGGCUCCAGCGGCGGCGGCGGGGGCAGCGGUCGCGGUGGCUGUGGCGUGAAGUGCGCGUCGCCUUCUUGCCUGCUGGCUUUGUCAACGCUCUUCACCCUCCGAUGCUGCUGCGUUGGGACCUGCACGGACGGCGGCGGGAGCGGGCGCGGCCGCGGCGGCGAGAAGUCCCCGUGGCCCUCUUGGAUGCUGGGCUUGUCGUCGCUGCGCACAGCUCGACGCUGCACGGGCCGCGACGGCAACGGCGGGGGCGGCGGUGGAGGAGGAGGGGGCGGCGGCGGUGGCGAGAAGUGUUUUCUUGGGGGGCUCUUGGUCCGCGCGCACGACUUGAUGCUCCGCUCGAGCUCGCUGAGCUCGCGCAGCAGGCCGGAGAAGCUGGGCGUGGUCGCGGAGCUCGCCCGCUUGCACUCGACCUCGUCGGCGUCGGCGUCGGCGUCCUCCCAGAGGAAGGAGGAGGAGGCGGAGGGCACGGUGAGCGUGCCGGUGGACGUGGACACCGACGGGUGCGUCCUGCUGGCCCUCCGCGACGUGGCCGUGGUCGCCGUGGACGCCUCCGUGCCGGAGCGCGGCGACGAGGCGGCCACCGCGACCGCCACGGCCUUGGGGUCCUUGCAGCCGCAGCCGAGCGCGAAGCCGACGCCGCCGAACCGCUUCCUCGCCGCGACGCCGUGGCUCAUCCCUGUCGCUCCCGGUCACUCGCAGCUUCCCACAGUGAUCUUGGACGGUGGCCGGCCGGCCUUAUAUCGCAGAGGCGCAGGCAGCUCACAGUGGCAUAUGGUGGCUCGCUCCCCUCGCUCCCGACCCCCGAGUUACGAAGUUAUGAAGCCAGCGACGAAGAAGCUACCGAGCUCAGCUGCGUCGCAUGUAGUAGAGUACAUGUAG
Molecule: ribosomal RNA, 1473 nt
Filed under: Triticum aestivum (bread wheat)
Lineage: Eukaryota; Viridiplantae; Streptophyta; Magnoliopsida; Poales; Poaceae
Description: partial small subunit ribosomal RNA
Source: RNAcentral